Molecule: ribosomal RNA, 363 nt
Filed under: uncultured bacterium
Lineage: Bacteria
Description: bacterial SSU rRNA
Rfam family: Bacterial small subunit ribosomal RNA
Source: RNAcentral
AACGAACGCUGGCGGCAUGCCUAACACAUGCAAGUCGAACGAGACCUUCGGGUCUAGUGGCGCACGGGUGCGUAACGCGUGGGAAUCUGCCCUUUGCUUCGGAAUAACAGUUAGAAAUGACUGCUAAUACCGGAUGAUGUCUUCGGACCAAAGAUUUAUCGGCAAAGGAUGAGCCCGCGUAGGAUUAGGUAGUUGGUGGGGUAAAGGCCUACCAAGCCGACGAUCCUUAGCUGGUCUGAGAGGAUGAUCAGCCACACUGGGACUGAGACACGGCCCAGACUCCUACGGGAGGCAGCAGUGGGGAAUUUUGGACAAUGGGCGAAAGCCUGAUCCAGCAAUGCCGCGUGCAGGAAGAAGGCCUUC